UACGUAGGGUGCGAGCGUUAAUCGGAAUUACUGGGCGUAAAGCGUGCGUAGGCGGUCCGCGAAGUCUGGUGUGAAAGCCCCGGGCUCAACCUGGGAACUGCAUUGGAAACUAACGGGCUCGAGUGUGGCAGAGGGGGGUGGAAUUCCACGUGUAGCAGUGAAAUGCGUAGAGAUGUGGAGGAACACCGAUGGCGAAGGCAGCCCCCUGGGCUAACACUGACGCUCAGGCACGAAAGCGUGGGGAGCAAACAGG
RNAcentral lists this ribosomal RNA (253 nucleotides) under uncultured bacterium. Its description in RNAcentral is "partial 16S ribosomal RNA". It matches the Rfam family "Bacterial small subunit ribosomal RNA", at positions 524 to 776 of the family's 1533-position model. The record is from RNAcentral.